RNAcentral lists this ribosomal RNA (253 nucleotides) under uncultured bacterium. RNAcentral describes it as "partial 16S ribosomal RNA". It matches the Rfam family "Bacterial small subunit ribosomal RNA", at positions 524 to 776 of the family's 1533-position model. The record is from RNAcentral.
UACAGAGGUCCCAAGCGUUGUUCGGAUUCACUGGGCGUAAAGGGUGCGUAGGUGGCGAGGUAAGUCGGAUGUGAAAUCUCCGAGCUCAACUCGGAAAUGGCAUUGGAAACUACCUUGCUCGAGGGUUGGAGGGGGGACUGGAAUGCUUGGUGUAGCAGUGAAAUGCGUAGAUAUCAAGCGGAACACCAGUGGCGAAGGCGAGUCCCUGGACAACUCCUGACACUGAGGCACGAAAGCUAGGGGAGCAAACGGG